This is a non-coding RNA of Acanthosepion pharaonis, 115 nucleotides long. NCBI's taxonomy places the organism in Eukaryota, Metazoa, Mollusca, Cephalopoda, Sepiida, Sepiidae. The record is from the annotation of a GenBank genome assembly.
UUACGCCCAUAUCAAGUGGAAACACCUAUUCUCAUACAAUCACUGAAGAUAAGCAACAUUGAGCCUGGUCAGUGCCUAGAAGGGUGACCACUAGGGAAUAUCAGGUGCUGUAAGC